RNAcentral lists this ribosomal RNA (1005 nucleotides) under Harringtonia aguacate. RNAcentral describes it as "SSU rRNA". It matches the Rfam family "Eukaryotic small subunit ribosomal RNA", at positions 88 to 1103 of the family's 1831-position model. Lineage: Eukaryota; Fungi; Ascomycota; Sordariomycetes; Ophiostomatales; Ophiostomataceae. The record is from RNAcentral.
UGCGAAUGGCUCAUUAAAUCAGUUAUCGUCUAUUUGAUAGUACCUUACUACUUGGAUAACCGUGGUAAUUCUAGAGCUAAUACAUGCUGAAAACCCCGACUUCGGAAGGGAUGUAUUUAUUAGAUUCAAAGCCAAUGCCCUCCGGGGCUCCCUGGUGAUUCAUGAUAACUUCUCGAAUCGCAUGGCCUUGCGCCGGCGAUGGUUCAUUCAAAUUUCUGCCCUAUCAACUUUCGACGGCUGGGUCUUGGCCAGCCAUGGUGACAACGGGUAACGGAGGGUUAGGGCUCGACCCCGGAGAAGGAGCCUGAGAAACGGCUCUACAUCUAAGGAAGGCAGCAGGCGCGCAAAUUACCCAAUCCCGACGCGGGGAGGUAGUGACAAUAAAUACUGAUACAGGGCUCUUUUGGGUCUUGUAAUUGGAAUGAGUACAGUUUAAUUCCCUUAACGAGGAACAAUUGGAGGGCAAGUCUGGUGCCAGCAGCCGCGGUAAUUCCAGCUCCAAUAGCGUAUAUUAAAGUUGUUGCAGUUAAAAAGCUCGUAGUUGAACCUUGGGCCUGGCCGGCCGGUCCGCCUCACCGCGUGCACUGGCGCGGCCGGGCCUUUCCCUCUGGGGAGCCGCAUGCCCUUCACUGGGCGUGUCGGGGAACCAGGACGUUUACUUUGAAAAAAUUAGAGUGUUCAAAGCAGGCUUAUGCUCGGAUACAUUAGCAUGGAAUAAUGGAAUAGGACGUGCGGUUCUAUUUUGUUGGUUUCUAGGACCGCCGUAAUGAUUAAUAGGGACAGUCGGGGGCAUCAGUAUUCAAUUGUCAGAGGUGAAAUUCUUGGAUUUAUUGAAGACUAACUACUGCGAAAGCAUUUGCCAAGGAUGUUUUCAUUAAUCAGGAACGAAAGUUAGGGGAUCGAAGACGAUCAGAUACCGUCGUAGUCUUAACCAUAAACUAUGCCGACUAGGGAUCGGACGCAGUUGUCUUUUGACGCGUUCGGCACCUUACACGAAAGUACAAG